GCAUCUGUAGCUCAGUAGGAUAGAGCGUCCGCCUCCUAAGCGGAAGGUCGUGGGUUCGAAUCCCGCCAGGUGCA
Molecule: transfer RNA, 74 nt
Filed under: Coprococcus sp. CAG:782
Lineage: Bacteria; Bacillati; Bacillota; Clostridia; Lachnospirales; Lachnospiraceae
Also listed under: 2 other names
Rfam family: tRNA
About the family: Transfer RNA (tRNA) molecules are approximately 80 nucleotides in length. Their secondary structure includes four short double-helical elements and three loops (D, anti-codon, and T loops). Further hydrogen bonds mediate the characteristic L-shaped molecular structure. tRNAs have two regions of fundamental functional importance: the anti-codon, which is responsible for specific mRNA codon recognition, and the 3' end, to which the tRNAs corresponding amino acid is attached (by aminoacyl-tRNA synthetases). tRNAs cope with the degeneracy of the genetic code in two manners: having more than one tRNA (with a specific anti-codon) for a particular amino acid; and 'wobble' base-pairing, i.e. permitting non-standard base-pairing at the 3rd anti-codon position.
Source: Rfam by way of RNAcentral